Long non-coding RNA from Choloepus didactylus (southern two-toed sloth), 1686 nucleotides. RefSeq lists it as uncharacterized. NCBI's taxonomy places the organism in Eukaryota, Metazoa, Chordata, Mammalia, Pilosa, Megalonychidae. The record is from RefSeq and is a predicted model, not a curated record. The transcript is spliced from 3 exons.
UAUUUUAUAAAUCUAUCAACCUAAAACACACUGAAAACCUAAGUUUUUAAAGGCAUUGUGUUGGAAUCUUCGAGGAGUACAGAGAUGUUUCUUUUACCCAAAGGAAAUAUCAGUCUAGCUGAGGAAAUAAGACACAUGUGAAAUAAUAACUGAAAAAACUCGGUAUUAAAUGUCUGUGAGUGAGGAAUCGGAGAGACAUAGCAGAAAAUUUCACGGGAAGGACAGAUCAGCCUUGCCUAGCAGGGCCCGGGGACUCAGGAAUGGGCAGGAACUUCCAGAAAUAAACCCUGCCUUGGGUAAAGGAGCACAGGAAGGAGUUGGGGAACCCUCGCUCUGAGCCGUGGGUCUGGGUGUAGCUGGCCCUGCAGGACACAUCUGCUUUUCAUCAUCCCUGUGCACAGAUUGUCAGGAAAGAAGUGAGGGAGAGCCCGAGCUUCCGAGACAGACGGGCAGAUGUUCAAAUCCUAGCCCUGCCUCCAGAUGAUCUAGUCUAGAGAAAGCCAGUUUUCAAGGAACACUCCCUAAAGGCUGCUGAGAGCUCGAGGAGAGAAGAGAAGCAUCGAACCAAGUCCCUGGUGCAAGUAGCUGUGGAAGAGAUGGCCGCUCCCUGCUCUGCCCUGUCCUCGCUGUCUUCCUAACCUCUGGGAGAAGGAGAAAGGACAAACCAUCCUCCUCCUCUUAAAGAUACAUGACUUCUGAGAGGAAAGGAUAGAAAAACAAGGAAAAAUUAAAAGAAAAACAGUGAAGACACACGAACGACCAGGACACAUCUACAUAACAAGCAUGAGAAGACACACACUUGCAGAUAUUAGAACAUGGGAUCUUAGAAGCAACCACAGAUGUUCUCUUACCCAACCAAUCAGGCCUUCCUCCCCAGCUUCCCAGAGAGAGAACUCAACCUGACAUCGGCUUAGCUUAAGGCUAGUCCCAAUGAUCUUGUUUAGACUUGCAGGCUCCGUCUGGAAAGACACAACUUAACACCACACUGACCCUAACCUACCCACAGCCAAUUCGGACACCCUAGAAACUGUACAAGAAAGGUGAGGACUUUGAGGAAACCCCUGGCUGUCGGCCAAGUCAACAUCAUCAUCAGCCAGAAUGCACACACCCCUGACUACUCCCGUCCCUGUUACUUUGCCCUGCUGUGGCCUUCCCCACGCCUUGGCAUCCUGCAACUGCUUUUAAACAUUUCUCUCCUCUGCCAUCUUAAACCUCCAUUCUUCUGUGAAUAAAUUGAACUCCUACCUCAACUUCUUCCCAUGGUUCGCUCCUCCCCUGCCCAUUUUACUGAGAUCUGUUUCUCCCUCGAAGCCACUGUUUCUAUCAGAGCCCUUUGGAGAGAAAACGGCUUUUCCCCCUGCUUCCGGAGGUUUGUCCAUAAGUGGCAUAAGGGAGGCUUGAAUCCUCAGUAUGUCGACGGGAACAGGCCAGCCACUGACGAGAACGAAGCUGGCCCAGUUGGGGCACAAUUGGAAGUGGUGGAGGACGUGACACGCCCCAGGUAAACACGGCAGCCACUUGGCUGCCAGAAAGAGUUUCGGCCAUUCAGGACUAAAAGCAAGCAUUUGCCACAUCUUCUAAUUUUUCAAAAGAAGCCAGAAAUUCAUGUUUUCAUGGUAGGAUCUCUAUAUUUUAAAUAUCAGCAACUAAUUUAAAAUGUUCAAACUUUGUAUAAUAAAUAAAACU